RNAcentral lists this ribosomal RNA (653 nucleotides) under uncultured bacterium. RNAcentral's name for it is "bacterial SSU rRNA". It matches the Rfam family "Bacterial small subunit ribosomal RNA", at positions 202 to 842 of the family's 1533-position model. The record is from RNAcentral.
GAAAGAUGGUUUUGCUAUCACUUAUAGAUGGACCCGCGCCGUAUUAGCUAGUUGGUAAGGUAACGGCUUACCAAGGCGACGAUACGUAGCCGACCUGAGAGGGUGAUCGGCCACACUGGAACUGAGACACGGUCCAGACUCCUACGGGAGGCAGCAGUAGGGAAUCUUCCGCAAUGGGCGAAAGCCUGACGGAGCAACGCCGCGUGAGUGAUGAAGGGUUUCGGCUCGUAAAACUCUGUUAUUAGGGAAGAACAAAUGUGUAAGUAACUGUGCACGUCUUGACGGUACCUAAUCAGAAAGCCACGGCUAACUACGUGCCAGCAGCCGCGGUAAUACGUAGGUGGCAAGCGUUAUCCGGAAUUAUUGGGCGUAAAGCGCGCGUAGGCGGUUUCUUAAGUCUGAUGUGAAAGCCCACGGCUCAACCGUGGAGGGUCAUUGGAAACUGGGAAACUUGAGUGCAGAAGAGGAAAGUGGAAUCCCAUGUGUAGCGGUGAAAUGCGCAGAGAUAUGGAGGAACACCAGUGGCGAAGGCGACUUUCUGGUCUGUAACUGACGCUGAUGUGCGAAAGCGUGGGGAUCAAACAGGAUUAGAUACCCUGGUAGUCCACGCCGUAAACGAUGAGUGCUAAGUGUUAGGGGGUUUCCGCCCCUUA